UACGUAGGGUGCAAGCGUUGUUCGGAAUCAUUGGGCGUAAAGCGCGUGUAGGUGGCUAGUUAAGUUGGAUGUGAAAUCCCUGGGCUCAACCGAGGAAGUGCAUUCAAAACUGGCUGGCUAGAAGAUGGUAAAGGAAGGUGGAAUUCCAAGUGUAGAGGUGAAAUUCGUAGAUAUUUGGAGGAAUACCGGCGGCGAAGGCGGCCUUCUGGGCCAUUCUUGACACUGAGACGCGAAAGCGUGGGGAGCAAACAGG
RNAcentral lists this ribosomal RNA (253 nucleotides) under uncultured bacterium. Its description in RNAcentral is "partial 16S ribosomal RNA". It matches the Rfam family "Bacterial small subunit ribosomal RNA", at positions 524 to 776 of the family's 1533-position model. The record is from RNAcentral.